RNAcentral lists this ribosomal RNA (857 nucleotides) under uncultured crenarchaeote. Its description in RNAcentral is "bacterial SSU rRNA". It matches the Rfam family "Archaeal small subunit ribosomal RNA", at positions 34 to 902 of the family's 1478-position model. Lineage: Archaea; Thermoproteati; Thermoproteota. The record is from RNAcentral.
UCGAGUGGGAUAGCCAUGCGAGUCACAUAGCAAUAUGUGGCAUACGGCUCAGUAACACGUAGUCAACAUGCCCAGGGGACGUGGAUAACCUCGGGAAACUGAGGAUAAACCGCGAUAGGUCAUCACUUCUGGAAUGGGUAAUGACUUAAAUCUAUAUGGCCCCUGGAUUGGACUGCGGCCGAUCAGGCUGUUGGUGAGGUAAUGGCCCACCAAACCUGUAACCGGUACGGGCUCUGAGAGGAGGAGCCCGGAGAUGGGCACUGAGACAAGGGCCCAGGCCCUAUGGGGCGCAGCAGGCGCGAAACCUCUGCAAUAGGCGAAAGCUUGACAGGGUUACUCUGAGUGAUUUCCGUUAAGGAGAUCUUUUGGCACCUCUAAAAAUGGUGCAGAAUAAGGGGUGGGCAAGUCUGGUGUCAGCCGCCGCGGUAAUACCAGCACCCCGAGUGGUCGGGACGUUUAUUGGGCCUAAAGCAUCCGUAGCCGGUUCUACAAGUCUUCCGUUAAAUCCACCUGCUUAACAGAUGGGCUGCGGAAGAUACUAUAGAGCUAGGAGGCGGGAGAGGCAAGCGGUACUCGAUGGGUAGGGGUAAAAUCCGUUGAUCCAUUGAAGACCACCAGUGGCGAAGGCGGCUUGCCAGAACGCGCUCGACGGUGAGGGAUGAAAGCUGGGGGAGCAAACCGGAUUAGAUACCCGGGUAGUCCCAGCUGUAAACGAUGCAGACUCGGUGAUGAGUUGGCUUAUUGCUAACUCAGUGCCGCAGGGAAGCCGUUAAGUUUGCCGCCUGGGGAGUACGGUCGCAAGACUGAAACUUAAAGGAAUUGGCGGGGGGGCACCACAAGGGGUGAAGCCUGCGGUU